GAAAAUUUUAAAUGAUGUAAGUAUCUUGCAUUAUACUUCUGUAGAGCAGCCAUGGUGUUCUCAUUAUUAAAAUGAGUGUGGUUAGAUGUGGUAGCACUCGCCCAUAAUCCUAGUGGUCGGGGAGGGUGAGGCAGGAGGAUUGUGAGUUCAAUGCCAGCUCAGCAAUUUAGCAAGGCCCUAAAUAAAAUAUUUUUAAAAAGUGCUGGGGAUGUGGGCAGUGGAGAAGUGCCCUGGGUUCAAUCCUUGGUAUAAACAACAACAUUCAUAAUAAUAAUAGUAAUUGUUCAAUGCUUCACUAGAGCAGAGGUUCUCAACAAGGUAGAGGGGGAGGGUAUUUUGCCUUUUAAGGUACAUAAUGUCUAUAGAGUUGUUUUUAGUUGUCACAACUACAGGGAGUGUUAAUGGUACCUGAUGGGUUAAAGCCAGGUAUGCUGCUAAGCAUCCAAUAAAGUAUAUACAGCACUCCACAACAAAGAAGUUUCCAGCCAAAUGUGAACAGUGUUGAAGUUAUCAAACCCUGAUGACCGAGUGUGUCCUCACCCCUUAAGUAAGUGUUCCAGGUUGGAAGGGUAGAUCAGCUUGAUCUGACUGUUCUGAUCACAGGGAUGGUGGAGGUCUUCUUAUGAACUUGGAGUCCUGAUGGACUGACUUCCUCUUCUGUACUGCUAGUGGGCUGGUAGGUUGAAUGAAGAGACCUG
RNAcentral lists this long non-coding RNA (698 nucleotides) under Marmota monax (woodchuck). The record is from RNAcentral. Lineage: Eukaryota; Metazoa; Chordata; Mammalia; Rodentia; Sciuridae.